Molecule: long non-coding RNA, 377 nt
Filed under: Marmota monax (woodchuck)
Lineage: Eukaryota; Metazoa; Chordata; Mammalia; Rodentia; Sciuridae
Source: RNAcentral
GUAUGUUGGUGACUUUCACAUUGUAAGUUCUCCAGAAAUACUUGUUAAUUGCACUUUAUGAAGAUAAACUAGAGAUUUGAAAAUGAAUUGGAAUACCAACUAAUAGAGCAUUAGGCUAGUUUUGGUGUUGAGAUGAAGAUAACCUUGGUUUGGAUUACAUUGAGAUAUGAAGAUGAGUUAUAGGUUCUUAAAACUGGAAUGCAGGCAAGGAAGAGUAAGGAAGUGUGUGUUGAAAGUCAUGAAAAUGGCAUAGAAGUGUACAUGGACAACAGAGAUUUAAGGUGUAUCCAUAGAAGUAGGAGAAGAACCAGAAGAUGUGACAAAAGUAAGAGAAUAAGAAGGGCAUACAUCAUAUCAACUCACAAGGGUGAGGCAGG